Molecule: ribosomal RNA, 484 nt
Filed under: uncultured bacterium
Lineage: Bacteria
Description: partial 16S ribosomal RNA
Rfam family: Bacterial small subunit ribosomal RNA
Source: RNAcentral
AUUGAACGCUGGCGGCAUGCCUAACACAUGCAAGUCGAACGGCAGCGCGGGCUUCGGCCUCGCGUCGGGUGGGCAACGGGCGGGUGAUUCAUGGGUACGUGCGCAGCUGUGGGGGAGAGGCCGACGAAAGCCGGAGAAUUACAGUAUACCACCAUAGGGUGAAAGCGAGGGACCGAGAGGGCUCGCGCCAUUGGCGCGGCCGAUGUCGGAUUAGCUAGUUGGUUGGGUAACGGCCUACCAAGGCGACGAUCCGUAGCUGGUCUGAGAGGAUGACCAGCCACACUGGAACUGAGACACGGCCCAGACUCCUACGGGAGGCGGCAGUGGGGAAUUUUGGACAAUGGGGGCAAGCCUGAUCCAGCCAUGCCGCGUGGGGGAAGAAGGCCUUCGGGUUGUAAACCCCUUUUGUUGGGAAAGAAAUGCAGUAGGCUAAUACCCCGAUGGUAUGACGGUACCGAAAGAAUAAGCACCGGCUAACUACGUG